GAUGAACGCUAGCGGGAGGCCUAACACAUGCAAGCCGAGCGGUAGAGUUCCUUCGGGAACUUGAGAGCGGCGUACGGGUGCGUAACACGUGUGCAACCUACCUUUAUCUGGGGGAUAGCCUUUCGAAAGGAAGAUUAAUACCCCAUAAUAUAAUGAUUGGCAUCAAUUAUUAUUGAAAACUCCGGUGGAUAGAGAUGGGCACGCGCAAGAUUAGAUAGUUGGUGAGGUAACGGCUCACCAAGUCAAUGAUCUUUAGGGGUCCUGAGAGGGAGAUCCCCCACACUGGGACUGAGACACGGACCAGACUCCUACGGGAGGCAGCAGUGAGGAAGAUUGGACAAUGGGUGAAAGCCUGAUCCAGCCAGCCCGCGUGAAGGAGGACGGUCCUAUGGAUUGUAAACUUCUUUUGUACAGGGAUAAACCUACUCUCGGGAGGGUAGCUGAAGGUACUGUACGAAUAAGCACCGGCUAACUCCGUG
Molecule: ribosomal RNA, 479 nt
Filed under: uncultured bacterium
Lineage: Bacteria
Description: partial 16S ribosomal RNA
Rfam family: Bacterial small subunit ribosomal RNA
Source: RNAcentral